RNAcentral lists this ribosomal RNA (908 nucleotides) under Klebsiella pneumoniae. RNAcentral's name for it is "bacterial SSU rRNA". It matches the Rfam family "Bacterial small subunit ribosomal RNA", at positions 29 to 928 of the family's 1533-position model. The record is from RNAcentral. Lineage: Bacteria; Pseudomonadati; Pseudomonadota; Gammaproteobacteria; Enterobacterales; Enterobacteriaceae.
UUGAACGCUGGCGGCAGGCCUAACACAUGCAAGUCGAGCGGUAGCACAGAGAGCUUGCUCUCGGGUGACGAGCGGCGGACGGGUGAGUAAUGUCUGGGAAACUGCCUGAUGGAGGGGGAUAACUACUGGAAACGGUAGCUAAUACCGCAUAAUGUCGCAAGACCAAAGUGGGGGACCUUCGGGCCUCAUGCCAUCAGAUGUGCCCAGAUGGGAUUAGCUAGUAGGUGGGGUAACGGCUCACCUAGGCGACGAUCCCUAGCUGGUCUGAGAGGAUGACCAGCCACACUGGAACUGAGACACGGUCCAGACUCCUACGGGAGGCAGCAGUGGGGAAUAUUGCACAAUGGGCGCAAGCCUGAUGCAGCCAUGCCGCGUGUGUGAAGAAGGCCUUCGGGUUGUAAAGCACUUUCAGCGGGGAGGAAGGCGAUAAGGUUAAUAACCUUGUCGAUUGACGUUACCCGCAGAAGAAGCACCGGCUAACUCCGUGCCAGCAGCCGCGGUAAUACGGAGGGUGCAAGCGUUAAUCGGAAUUACUGGGCGUAAAGCGCACGCAGGCGGUCUGUCAAGUCGGAUGUGAAAUCCCCGGGCUCAACCUGGGAACUGCAUUCGAAACUGGCAGGCUAGAGUCUUGUAGAGGGGGGUAGAAUUCCAGGUGUAGCGGUGAAAUGCGUAGAGAUCUGGAGGAAUACCGGUGGCGAAGGCGGCCCCCUGGACAAAGACUGACGCUCAGGUGCGAAAGCGUGGGGAGCAAACAGGAUUAGAUACCCUGGUAGUCCACGCCGUAAACGAUGUCGAUUUGGAGGUUGUGCCCUUGAGGCGUGGCUUCCGGAGCUAACGCGUUAAAUCGACCGCCUGGGGAGUACGGCCGCAAGGUUAAAACUCAAAUGAAUUGACGGGGGCCCGCACAA